This 468-nucleotide ribosomal RNA is filed under the name uncultured bacterium. RNAcentral's name for it is "partial 16S ribosomal RNA". It matches the Rfam family "Bacterial small subunit ribosomal RNA", at positions 28 to 507 of the family's 1533-position model. The record is from RNAcentral.
GACGAACGCUGGCGGCGUGCCUAACACAUGCAAGUCGAACGGAAUCAAGAGGAGCUUGCUCUUCUUGACUUAGAGGCGGACGGGUGAGUAACGCGUGAGUAACCUGCCCUGGAGUGGGGGACAACAGUUGGAAACGACUGCUAAUACCGCAUAAGCUCACGGAUCCGCAUGGGUCUGCGGGGAAAGGAUUUGUUCGCUUCAGGAUGGACUCGCGUCCAAUUAGCUAGUUGGUGGGGUAACGGCCCACCAAGGCGACGAUUGGUAGCCGGACUGAGAGGAUGAACGGCCACACUGGGACUGAGACACGGCCCAGACUCCUACGGGAGGCAGCAGUGGGGAAUAUUGCACAAUGGGGGAAAGCCUGAUGCAGCGACGCCGCGUGGAGGAUGAAGGUUUUAGGAUUGUAAAGUCCUGUCGUUAGGGACGAUAAUGACGGUACCUGACGAGAAAGCACCGGCUAACUACGUG